UACGGAGGGUGCGAGCGUUGUCCGGAAUCACGUGGCGUAAAGGGCGCGUAGGUGGCGACGCAAGUCAACGGUGAAAGCUCGACGCUCAACGUCGAGUCGGCCGUCGAGACUGCGUGGCUCAAGCACUGUAGAGGCAGAUGGAAUUCCGGGUGUAGCGGUGGAAUGCGUAGAGAUCCGGAAGAACACCGGUGGCGAAGGCGGUCUGCUGGGCAGUAGCUGACACUGAGGCGCGACAGCGUGGGGAGCAAACAGG
This 253-nucleotide ribosomal RNA is filed under the name uncultured bacterium. RNAcentral's name for it is "partial 16S ribosomal RNA". It matches the Rfam family "Bacterial small subunit ribosomal RNA", at positions 524 to 776 of the family's 1533-position model. The record is from RNAcentral.